RNAcentral lists this ribosomal RNA (489 nucleotides) under uncultured bacterium. RNAcentral's name for it is "bacterial SSU rRNA". It matches the Rfam family "Bacterial small subunit ribosomal RNA", at positions 31 to 507 of the family's 1533-position model. The record is from RNAcentral.
AGAGACCGCUGGCGGCGUGGAUUAGGCAUGCAAGUCGAACGGUAUCAUCCUUUCGGGGGUGAGAGAGUGGCGAACUGGUGAAGUAACACGUAGGUUAUCUACCCUCAAGACGGGGACAACCCAGGGAAACUUGGGCUAAUACCGGAUGUGAGCAACUUUUAGGUUGUUUGAAAGGUGGCGUAAGCUGUCGCUUGGGGAUGAGCCUGCGUCCUAUUAGUUAGUUGGUGAGGUAACGGCUCACCUAGGCAAUGAUAGGUAGGCGGCCUUAACGGGUGGUCGCCCACACUGGGAUUGAGAUACGGCCCAGACUCCUACGGGAGGCAGCAGUCGAGAAUAGUCUACAAUGGUCGGAAGACUGAUAGUGCGACGCCGCGUGAACGAUGAAUCCCUUCGGGGUGUAAAGUUCUUUUAUAUGUGAGCAGUGCUUCUUAUAUUAACAGUAUGGGGAGAGAGAUAUUAGCAUAUGAAUAAGCAACGGCUAACUCCGUG